This 432-nucleotide ribosomal RNA is filed under the name uncultured Stenotrophomonas sp. Its description in RNAcentral is "bacterial SSU rRNA". It matches the Rfam family "Bacterial small subunit ribosomal RNA", at positions 355 to 779 of the family's 1533-position model. The record is from RNAcentral. Lineage: Bacteria; Pseudomonadati; Pseudomonadota; Gammaproteobacteria; Lysobacterales; Lysobacteraceae.
UGGGGAAUAUUGGACAACGGGCGCAAGCCUGAUCCAGCCAUACCGCGUGGGUGAAGAAGGCCUUCGGGUUGUAAAGCCCUCUUGUUGGGAAAGAAAAGCAGCCGGUUAAUACCCGGUUGUUCUGACGGUACCCAAAGAAUAAGCACCGGCUAACUUCGUGCCAGCAGCCGCGGUAAUACGAAGGGUGCAAGCGUUACUCGGAAUUACUGGGCGUAAAGCGUGCGUAGGUGGUUGUUUAAGUCUGUCGUGAAAGCCCUGGGCUCAACCUGAGAAUUGCGAUGGAAACUGGGCGACUAGAAUGUGGCAGAGGGUAGUGGAAUUCCUGGUGUAGCAGUGAAAUGCGUAGAGAUCAGGAGGAACAUCCGUGGCGAAGGCGACUGCCUGGGCCAACACUGACACUGAGGCACGAAAGCGUGGGGAGCAAACAGGAUU